GACCGCGUAGCUCAGUUGGAAGAGCAUUGGGCUAGUAUUCCAAAGGUCGUAGGUUCAAAUCCCACCAUGGCCG
This is a non-coding RNA of Paramuricea clavata, 73 nucleotides long. NCBI's taxonomy places the organism in Eukaryota, Metazoa, Cnidaria, Anthozoa, Malacalcyonacea, Plexauridae. The record is from the annotation of a GenBank genome assembly.